GACGAACGCUGGCGGCGUGCCUAAUACAUGCAAGUUGAGCGAUGAAGAUUGGUGCUUGCACCAAUUUGCAGAGCAGCGAACGGGUGAGUAACGCGUGGGGAAUCUGCCUUUGAGCGGGGGACAACAUUUGGAAACGAAUGCUAAUACCGCAUAAUAACUUUAAACAUAAGUUUUAAGUUUGAAAGAUGCAAUUGCAUCACUCAAAGAUGAUCCCGCGUUGUAUUAGCUAGUUGGUGAGGUAAAGGCUCACCAAGGCGAGGAUACAUAGCCGACCUGAGAGGGUGAUCGGCCACAUUGGGACUGAGACACGGCCCAAACUCCUACGGGAGGCAGCAGUAGGGAAUCUUCGGCAAUGGACGAAAGUCUGACCGAGCAACGCCGCGUGAGUGAAGAAGGUUUUCGGAUCGUAAAACUCUGUUGGUAGAGAAGAACGUUGGUGAGAGUGGAAAGCUCAUCAAGUGACGGUAACUACCCAGAAAGGGACGGCUAACUACGUG
Molecule: ribosomal RNA, 497 nt
Filed under: uncultured bacterium
Lineage: Bacteria
Description: partial 16S ribosomal RNA
Rfam family: Bacterial small subunit ribosomal RNA
Source: RNAcentral